Long non-coding RNA from Varroa destructor (honeybee mite), 538 nucleotides. RefSeq lists it as uncharacterized. The record is from RefSeq and is a predicted model, not a curated record. Lineage: Eukaryota; Metazoa; Arthropoda; Arachnida; Mesostigmata; Varroidae.
UCGAAUUUCGAGAAGAAGGCCAGCGUAUUCAAAACCAUAAGGCCUAGGUAGAGCUAGAUACAAGCAUAUCUUAAAUAAUGAUGCAGCUCAAUGGUGUAAAGGCGCUAAGCACAUGAUCUAAACGGAAAGCUUCACAUAAGAAAAUGUAGCCAUGGGAAUACGCCACGGAAGACAAGCUGCAAAUGAUAAUGACGAUGAGGAGGCUUAUGACGAUUAUUGGCUGUCUUAUCGUCACCGCCCGAGCAACAUAGAUGUGCUGAACUUCGGCUGAACGCGGUCGUUCGCUGUGUCCUGCACGUGCACGACACGGGACACAGAAACACCAAAACAUUAACAGGCCUGAGCAUGAUUAAAGCUACAGAAAAUUUGGCGGUACUCUCGAGCUCGCAUUGGCUAUUCAAGAGCAGAAUAACAAGAAAUUGUUGUCGCCUAUGAGGACACUCGCACAGCAAGAUUCGGUGGAAGUGGCUGCGGUAGAAAAGCUUUUCAGUCACCUGUAGUGCUGGUAACUCUCUCGAAGCCGGUGAGCUUAAUUCAA